RNAcentral lists this long non-coding RNA (5376 nucleotides) under Brassica napus (rape). RNAcentral describes it as "long non-coding RNA (BNAP_LNC007318)". The record is from RNAcentral. Lineage: Eukaryota; Viridiplantae; Streptophyta; Magnoliopsida; Brassicales; Brassicaceae.
GAUUAAUAAAUAAUAUACUAUUUCGUUCUCGAUAUGUACUAUACUAUAUAUUUUGUUUCAUUCUAUUUAGGUUUGGGAUCUACUUGGAUUUAUGGUUUAAUGAGUAGGAUUUAGGGUUUAGUAUUUGGAAGGUGGUGGUUAAGGUUUGGGUUUAGUGACCCUAUCAUAUAUCGUUCCAUUUGACGAUUAAUAAAAAGUGUUCUAUUUUGUUCACCAUUAUAUAUUAUACUAUGUAUUUUGUUACAUUCUAUUUGGGUUUGGGGUAUAUACUUGGGUUUAUGGUCUAUAAUUGGGUUUAAGGAUUAGUGAUUAUGAUUUAGGGUUUAGUAUUUGGAAAGUGGAGGUUGAGUUUUGGAUUUAGUGAUAACAGUUUAAAGUUUAGCAUUCAAACUUUAGAUUUAGAUUUAGAGUUUAUAUAUGAGUUUAUGGAUUAUAUUUGGUUUUAAGGUUUACUGGUUAGGGUUUAGGGUUUAGUGAUUAUAGUUUAGGAUUUAUUAUUUAGAUGUUUGUGGAUUUGAGAUCAAAUUUAUUAUUUAGGGAUUAUGAUAUAGUUAAAUAUUUUAUACUAUUUUGAUGAUAUGGAAUAUAACAUUCCGAUUUAAUUGUGAAAAGUAAAUGGAAUAUACUAUUUAUUGUAAGAGUAAUUUAUUUUCGUGAACAGAUUUACUGAACGAAGAAACAUAUGAAGUAGUUACGUAAAUGAUGUGGAUGGAUUUGGUGUCUUCAUUUUCAACAGUGUGCAGUAAAUAUUGACCAUACCUUAUUUUCUUCAACGUCAUCUACGUGACUUAUUCACCGGUUACUUGUACCAGAAGAGGGUAUAACCGACUAAACUUGAGCUAAAUGUUAUUGACUUAAUAAUGUCAAAAUCAUUGUCAUAUUUUUAAUUAUGCUUCUAAAAUUGGCUAUUUGGCAAAUUAACCCUUAAUUUUAUAACCACACAAAGUAGUAGUUAGGAUUUGUCUAGGACUCGUGUAAUCUUGCAUUCUUAUAGUUUAUUAUUAGACGACAAUGUCAUUUGUACCAGUUGGAUAAUUUUAUGCUUUCAUGUUCCUCAAAACAUACAUACUUAGAAGAAAAAUAUCACAAUAAGAUACUAAGUCACAUUAUUCAUAGGCAUCAACACGGAUAUAGAUCCAAAUUUAAGGCCCAUUUUGCAUACAUGAAGAAAAUCUUUAUUCGUGCUAUGCACUUUUCACUAAAAAUUAGUUUAAGUUUUUCCAUUAUUCCGGGAUAUCCUAGAUUAAUAAAAAAACACAAUAAAAUACUAUUAUUACGAUCUUUUAGAUUUCAUUUAUUUUUAAUUCUUUUUAGAAUCAUAAAUUUUCAUUUUCAAUCCAAAAUUAUGGAAUUACACUAAAAUCACACAAUCCUACAAUAGUCUCACACAUUUCCAGUUUAGUUGUAAAAUUGAGUUAUAAUUUCGCAUUGUUAUAAUAAAAAAAUAAAUUCCCAUCGUUAUAAUUUUGUAAUUAAACCAUAAUGUUAAUACGUUAUCUUGAAAUAAAAACUACGUUAUGUAAUUACGAGAUAACAAUUUUUAUAACUAACAGAAAUCAGACAAAAUAAGCUAUGCUCAACUUGUCAUGAUGAUGUUCUUGAUUUUGUGAGCUUCAUACACGAAAACCAUAUAUACCUCGAUUCGCUUUCUCUUUAAAAUUCUCGCCUUCCACAACAGAGAUAAACAUAUAACUUCUGAACCUUAGUAUUAGAGAGGGGCACGAUAUCCUGAAGUUCUAACAUAUCAGGAUCGUGAUCCAAGUUUAAGAACCUUAAUGAAUGUAUCACUCUCACCAUUCGUAUCUCUAAUGCCAUAAGACAAUGGAAACUUCUUCUUCCAACAUAAUUUAUCUUUUCCAAGCACCACUGCUCCACAAAAACAGUCCUUGAGACAAGUUGCUUUACACCUUUCUUCAUCAUAAUUUGAAUACCUCUUGUAAUCCCCUGACGGCCAAUUUGUCAUCCUCAAAGUCACAAACUCGUAGAGAUUUGCAUCCUGGUCCGCUGCUGCUGUUUGGUUACUCUCUCGUCCACAAAUUUGCAUCUCAAAAUCAGGUUUACAAUCACCAUACUCGUCAUCUGGAUCCACCAACAAAAACCUCUUGGGGCAUUCACAUCUUGGCCUAUUAUUAUCUCCUAAAAUGCAUAUAUUAUUAAACCCACAAGCUAGAUUCCCAAGCUCAUUAGCAUCAAGAUACGGUCCAAACCUCUUUGCACAUAUAUUCUCUGGUUCAGACCAAGCCAGAGACCAUCCAUUAUCACUAUUAUUAACCCCUUGCCUCUUGGGAUGAUAGUACUGAGAGAAAACCCCGUCGAAAUGUAAAACGGCACGGUGAUAAAAGUCUUUGGACGGUACUGGAUCUUUAUUGUUGACAUAGAAUCUCGUUGUAUUGUCGUUCAUUACUACAUACAUGUAGCCUGUCUCGUUGAAAACCAAUCGAUUCCCGGGAUUAUGAGGGUCUUUUGUGUUACUUGAGUAGUACGAAAAGUAUACAUCUGUUUCUGCUAGCGUCUCGCUGUUGAGAGUAAGAAGCUGGAGAUCUCCAUCGUCACCUAAACGUAGCCUGAAUCUUCCUUUCUGGAAGCUAGUCUCUUUGAGGCGAGAUGAGAGAUUCCCUCUAACUUCAAUACUCUGCAUCAUCAUCACCAUACACCCGACCAUAUAUAUGUGAUGUGUACUUACAAUUAGACGGAUGUAACUUUUUGUUAAUUUUUUAAAUAAAAAACUUGACAUGCAUUUUAAGUGAGUAGCAAAUCAUUUUUUCGUAAUUGUAUGUAUAUCAUAUGAACUUAAAGUAUGUGUAGUAUCAAUAUAAAUAUUUUAUAUAAAAUUAGAGAUAUAAACUAGAAAUAUAAGGUUAAUUAUACAUAUAUUCGGUUAUCUUCGGAUAUCCAUUCGGGUUCGGGUAUUAUCCGUUCGGGUUCGGGUAUCCAAUCUCUCCUUAUUCAAUACCCGUUCGGGUAUUUUGCAACUUCGGUUCGGAUUUCGGUUCGGAUUUUUCGGAUCGGGUUCGGGUGCCACUUCGGAUAUCGGGUAAAGUGCCCACCCCUAGCUGCAAAUCGCAUUUGCAAACCGCAAUUGCCAACAACAAAUAACAACAAAUAAACGAAUAGAAGUAUAGAACCAUAGUUGUUAAACUCCCAGCCCAUAAUAUAUCAAGUUUGGAAGAAAACAUAACUUUUUAUUGAAAAAUUGAUUAGUCUUAGAGAAACUAGGGUGAUAACCUCUUUUUAAAAACAUGGGUAAAAUUUUCCUAAAAACUCAUAUUUUCAUGAUUAGGUUAUAUUAUUCUCAAAUCUAGAACUAUUUUAUUUUAGAUGAGUUGUUUUUUUUCUUUAUUCUUAUAAUAAUCUAUUCCGUUUUUCAUAUUUUUCUUUUUAUGCAUGAAUUUUUGUCGUAUUCUUUUCUCACUACCAUUGUCAUGAUUUAUCCAGGGCCGUGUCUAAUUUUUUUGGGCUUAGAAGCCAAAAAAUAUUUUUUUGGCCCUUAGGUAUAAUAUUGGUAAAAAUAUUAUGUAGUAAGAAUCAAAUGUGUCAACAAAUUUAAUAAAACCUAACCAACCAAUAAUUUUUCAAAUUGACCCUUAAAGUAUAUUUAACAAAAUUGACCCUGAAGCACAUGUUUGAUGGGCUCAUACUCAAACACAGCCUUAGUUUUAUCCUAUUCCACAAAAUAAUUACUAAAAUUAAAAAUGAAUCUUACUUUUUAAAUAGAAUCAACAAAAUAUGGUUUUCACUACAAAACACUUUGUUUUAAGACACGUCAAUUAUGGUUUUAUAUAAAUCUAAAAAGUUCAAAAUGGUUUGUUAGAACAAUCUAAGAGUAAUCUCAUAACAUACUAUUUACUCUUUUGAUAGAGCCAAAACAUACCACCAUUGGUAUCUCAAUUAUUUUGAUUUUUGAUCUGAUUUUAGAUAUUAUGCUUUCAAGCCACUCCACUUGCUUAGGUGUGAAGUCAUCCUUCUCUUUUUGAAUAGUAAUUAAACAUGAAGCAUAUUUAAUUUUAUACCCAUUUUAGGGAAAUUGCACUGUAUGACAUCCAAAAAAAUUAUAAUUAACUCAGUGACCAAUUGCCCUAUUAUACCAAUAUACUUUAUGUCUAUUAUGUAAUAAUACAUUUUUACCCUUGUAUACAACCGGUGUAACCUGCAGAAAGAAAAUAAAUAUAAAUUAUUUUUUGUUUAUUCUAGAGAAGUAAAUGUGUCUUUUCUUUUGACACAAAUUGUAAAUGAUAAUAAUUGUGAAAGCUCAAUGCUUUCUUCUCCAUUUUGUCCGCCACGGAAAUCACCGAGUAUAUCACCGGCGACGUUUGUGGAGUACCAGCCCGAUUGUGACGCCUUUGUUGGAGAUGGGAGACAAAGGAUUCACGGCUUCUGAACUCGGACGUAACAUCUCUGUGAGUAAUUUCUCGCUUCGAGAUUCAACACUUCGUGAAGACCAUACUUAAACACUUGUAAAUUUUGAUUUUGGAGCUGGUAGUUGUACUGCUUUAGUUGAUCGGAGAAGAUAAACAUUUUUUCUAACAUUAUGUUCUAUUCUAUUUAUAUGCAUAUGGAAUAGAAAUAUAAACUAAUAUGUAUUAUAAGUGUUCUGUUCAUGUUAUAUAAUGUGAAUUAGUCUGUUACUAUUUUUUUUUACCAUGUACCUUUUUAUUUGAGCAUUCAUAAAGAAUGUAUUAUUUUGUUCCCCAAUUUGUACUAACCAUUCUAUUUGGAUUUGAGGUUUAUACUUGGGUUUAGUGAUUAAAAUUUAGAGUUUAGUAUUUGGAAGUGGGGGUUGAGGUUUGGGUUUAAUGACUCUAUUAUGUAUCCAUUUGCCGAUUAAUAAAUAAUAUACUAUUUCGUUCUCGAUAUGUACUAUACUAUAUAUUUUGUUUCAUUCUAUUUAGGUUUGGGAUCUACUUGGAUUUAUGGUUUAAUGAGUAGGAUUUAGGGUUUAGUAUUUGGAAGGUGGUGGUUAAGGUUUGGGUUUAGUGACCCUAUCAUAUAUCGUUCCAUUUGACGAUUAAUAAAAAGUGUUCUAUUUUGUUCACCAUUAUAUAUUAUACUAUGUAUUUUGUUACAUUCUAUUUGGGUUUGGGGUAUAUACUUGGGUUUAUGGUCUAUAAUUGGGUUUAAGGAUUAGUGAUUAUGAUUUAGGGUUUAGUAUUUGGAAAGUGGAGGUUGAGUUUUGGAUUUAGUGAUAACAGUUUAAAGUUUAGCAUUCAAACUUUAGAUUUAGAUUUAGAGUUUAUAUAUGAGUUUAUGGAUUAUAUUUGGUUUUAAGGUUUACUGGUUAGGGUUUAGGGUUUAGUGAUUAUAGUUUAGGAUUUAUUAUUUAGAUGUUUGUGGAUUUGAGAUCAAAUUUAUUAUUUAGGGAUUAUGAUAUAGUUAAAU